This is a long non-coding RNA of Brassica napus (rape), 4074 nucleotides long. RefSeq lists it as uncharacterized. NCBI's taxonomy places the organism in Eukaryota, Viridiplantae, Streptophyta, Magnoliopsida, Brassicales, Brassicaceae. The record is from RefSeq and is a predicted model, not a curated record. The transcript has 11 exons.
UUCAUUUUUAUCACUGUGAAAAAUGUGACCGAAUGAUUGUUGUAAACAACUGCUUCGCAAAUAACGUUCAAAGCUUUAUGACUUUUCUCUUCUUUAUGUCUUUUUGUUAGUAAAAAGUUAGGAAAGUGGCCUUUGUAGUGGUUGAUUGCAUGUUUUUCCUCUUUUAUUAUCUCUUUCUUUAGACCUUAAGAUGAUUUGUAUUUGGAAUAGAGGAAAGAAUCCUUCACAUUUGUGUGACUCACCAUACUUAUGUUGUGUAUUUAAGUAUCCAUUGAAAAUUUCCCCUGAAAGCUUAGUUUUUUUUCUGUCACAAUCUACAUGUCCCAUUGCUUCGUUGGACAACUCCUUUAUCUAAGUCAUAUGAAGAUUUGUUUUCUGACUGGUACUUGAAGAUAUAGCUCUGGUGUAUUGACUUCAGAGUUAAUGGUCCUGGAAAAUAGGUCAAACGAUAACUGUAUGUGUGAGUUGUUCUAUGAUACAAGGUUCACCCAACUCAACACUUCCUUCCUUCAUCACCAAGUCUGAGUUAUAGAUAAGGAUGAGAAUUAGGAGAAGCACAAGCCAAGACCAAAACACUAAGGUUAUCUCUCUUUGAAAAACCCUUGCAGCAACGUCUCACCCAUUAGCUUUCUUAAGGUUCACACAACAAAUUAAAGGAGAUCCAGUGCCACAAGAUCUGCUAGACAGACUGUGCGAGCUCAUAGCUGUUCUUGCUGGUGGUGCAGCUGCAAAAUCUGAAGCACUGAAGGGACAAAAAAUUUGCUACAAGCCUACAACUAAACUUUAAGUCUUCUUUAUGUCCUUUUGUAUCAAGGCUUUACUUUGAAUUUCUGCUUUUUGUUCCAGGAAGAAGUAUUAGCAAUGAGCCUUCUCGUAGACAAUCCCUUAGCUAGCUGACAAUAACAAACAGCUACCCGGAAGAUGUUAUUGGUGAGCUAAGUACAAUCAGAAGAACGUUCAACACGACGGCAAUUACCGGAAAAUAGUAUAAUGGCAACUCUACGUAUAGAAAGGGAUGUUACUCUGUGUGUUAGGGACUGGCUCUUGCAUUCCAUAGAAAAUUGGAGAGCUAUGAGUCGGAGCCCAAUGUUGUGCUAGCUACCAGCAUAAUUUCCAAGACAGUUGGAGGUUCGUUCAAAGAUUGAUAAGAUUGAGAGAAAGGGUUUAUGCAAAACCUUGGACAGCAAGAAACUAUCAGAUGCUUCCACUGAGAUUGAUGGUUCAAAUAAUAUUCUGGAGCUAGCACCAGCUGCGAUAGCCAGAACAACUAACACUGUUACCAAGAAGGAAACAACAGUUUUGAGAAGAAGCUUUGCAACAAAAAGAGAAGAAGACGAUGCAGAGAGAGUUGAAAUUCAACCUAACGAUGAUUUCAGAGCAUCACUCCUUUGAGGUUUAUGGCUUUGUGUUUGAUCCCAAGGCAACCUAUGAAAGCUACGGGUCUGAGCUGAAAGUAGUGUUACUCACUAGCAUCAAUUCUAAGGUUGUUGGAGGCCGGUUAUUUCUCAACGACACUUCUGGAACCCAUAACUACUCAACGUAUUUGUUAAACCUUUAAUAAAUGGUACACCUCCAGUGCGUAAAAUAUUUGCCAAUUGAUAUCAUCAUAUUGGUACUGUGAUGUCACCUUUAAACUCUUUAGAUAGAGUGGGGAUCCCUCAGCCAAAAAUGGUUUUUCAUCCAACCUGGUUUAUGCUAAAAAAAUAGACUCAACUGUUUCUGAUCUCAACCAAUACGCUGUCACAUCUAAUCCUCAGGUCAAAGUUCCGUCUAUCACAACUCAAUAUCUCAGUUUAGACUAGCCAAACAUAAGUUAUCCAAUAUUUAGGAAAAGUCAUCUAUAAUUUAGCAUUAUUACAAUUAAUAAACGGAGUUUUUAUGUUCCAAUUUGCAGUUUCAUUUACAUACUUUUUCCAAUUUUCGUAUUAACUUUCAAAAAAAAUAUAGAAAUGUUUUUCCUCAUUUCCUAAUAUGUUUCACCGCCAUAGAUAGUUUCUUACCAAAAAUUAAAUAAGAAAAUAUAUGAACAGAACUUCAUUACAUGCGUUUGAAUUCAAAUCAGUCUCUAAUUAAAAUUUCAAAUGUCGUCCACAUAUUAUACUUAAUAAUAUAUGUAUAUAUAUGCUCUCUAAAUAAAACAUAUAUUCACUACUCAAACCAUAUAACAAGAUUUGAUUUCACGUUUAAAUUUGGUUACCUUAUGUUACAUUAAUAUUGCACCAUAAAAUUAAACCAAAAACAUCAAAUGUAACAUACUAGAAAAAAUAACUACAAUUAUUAAUAUAGCAGUAUCCACCAUCUAAAAAAAUUAUAUAUUAUAUCUUCACCAAAUAGAAAGAUUCACAAGAAAACAUAUAUUCUUUCAAACAAGAUAAUAAAAACAAACACAGGCAUUUACAUUUUCUCUCUCGAACAUCAACUUUACUUUAUGCUUAAAUUCCAAUUAAAUUAACUUUGUCAUGACUAUUCGGUUUUUUAUUCUAUUUUUAUUGAAUCGAUUAGUCACAACCACUUUUGUUAUUCUGGUUUGAACUUAGCAAUUUCAAAACAAAAUAAUAUACUUUAGUCGAUAACCAUUAUCAAAUAGAUCACAAAAUAUAAUUUUCUUUCAACAUAUUUUUAUCUUCAUAUUUUUGAAUAUAUUUUCUUUACUAAUACCAUAAAAUAAAUUGUAAAUUUAUUUAGAAAUAAAACAUACCAAGAUUUUGAGUUCGUCAAUGGAGCCCGCUGUGGACAAAAAGGUUCCAUCUUUCUGUCCUUUUGUACAGUUAAAUCUGUUUAACCAUGCUCAAAAUUUACUGAUUUACCUGGAAAAAGUGAUCUUUUGCUCUCUUAGGGCUUCGUUAAUACGUGAUUAUCAUCUCGGUGUGUUCAGGGUUUUGCUUUUGUUUCAGGGUUUAUGUGGGUUUUGGUUUUAGGGUUAAUGAGCGAUGAUCAUCUCUGUUUUUUUUUUUGUUUAGGGAAAGUUUGAUUAUCUUUUACUUUGUUUACUAUUACUUACUGUUUCUCUUUGCUUUUGCGCUGAUUGGUUUUGUUUUAUCCGUUCCUGAUGAAUCACUGAUUGUGUUCUUACAGUUUUACUGAGUAGAAAUAGAUUAAUUUUCUGCUCAAUUCUACUGAUUUACCUGGAAAAAAGUGAACUAUUGCUCUCUUAGGGUUUCGUUGAUGUGUGACGAUUAUCUAUGUGUGUUUAGGGUUUUGUUUUGAUUUAGGGGUUUAGCUCUUCUUGAGUUUUGUUUUACUAAGCACUCAGGAUAUCCCAGCUGACCUGGAGAUGGGGAUGUCUACUACUGAUCAGCCUUGGGGGUGUCCGAAUUCUAGCAGCAACAUAACUUCAAAACCAAGUAGAAACAGUUCUUCUCAUCCUAGAGCUCCUGUAGAGGUUGUUUCUUCGGCUCAAGCUAAUUUUCUGCGGCACUUUAAAAGAUUUGACACUGUUGAGGAUUUCUCAGAUAUUUCUUGAGAAUAAUUUGCCAGAGACGAUAUCUGUGCGAGCUUGUGAAUCAAGAAUGGAUCUUAUGAGAGCUGUAAUUAUUGGAGCAGAGGGGACUCCUUAUCAUGACGGUCUUUUCUUUUUUGAUAUUCACUUCCCUGAUAACUAUCCUUCAGUGCCACCAAUGGUUCAUUACCAUUCUGGUGGGCUUAGAAUCAACCCAAAUCUAUACAGCUCUGGUAAAGUAUGCUCGAGUCUUCUCGGUACCUGGAAUGGUAACCCGAGGGAGCAAUGGCUACCACAGGAGUCCACCAUGUUACAGCUUCUCGUCUCAAUCCAAGCACUCAUCUUGAAUCAAAAACCAUACUUUAACGAACCUGCCUACGAGCGGACCAAGGGGACUCCAUCAGGCGAGGCUUAUUCCAAAGUUUACAGCGAGAACGUAUACAUAUCGUCAUUAAGGACGAUGGUUUACGGCAUGAGAAAAUCACCAAAGCACUUUGAAGAGUUUGUUCGUAGCCAUUACUUUGAGCGGGCUCACGAUAUUUUGAAAGCAGCCAAUGGUUAUAUAGACGGUGCUCCUGUUUGUUCCAUAGUUAAAGGAACUAGCCAGGUCGAGUCCAUGAAAUUUAGGACUGACA